AAUCCUACGGGGCGCAGCAGUGAGGAAUAUUGGUCAAUGGACGCAAGUCUGAACCAGCCAUGCCGCGUGCAGGAUGACUGCUCUAUGAGUUGUAAACUGCUUUUGUACGAGGGUAAACCCCGAUACGUGUAUCGGGUUGAAAGUAUCGUACGAAUAAGGAUCGGCUAACUCCGUGCCAGCAGCCGCGGUAAUACGGAGGAUCCGAGCGUUAUCCGGAUUUAUUGGGUUUAAAGGGUUCGUAGGCGGUUUUAUAAGUUAAGGGUUAAAUGUCGGG
RNAcentral lists this ribosomal RNA (274 nucleotides) under uncultured bacterium. RNAcentral's name for it is "partial 16S ribosomal RNA". It matches the Rfam family "Bacterial small subunit ribosomal RNA", at positions 335 to 606 of the family's 1533-position model. The record is from RNAcentral.